This is a long non-coding RNA of Homo sapiens (human), 4007 nucleotides long. Ensembl annotates it as metastasis associated lung adenocarcinoma transcript 1. Its record names the gene MALAT1. The record is from Ensembl. Lineage: Eukaryota; Metazoa; Chordata; Mammalia; Primates; Hominidae.
CAAAUGUUGAAGUUAAGUUUUCCAAUAAUGUGACUUCUUAAAAGUUUUAUUAAAGGGGAGGGGCAAAUAUUGGCAAUUAGUUGGCAGUGGCCUGUUACGGUUGGGAUUGGUGGGGUGGGUUUAGGUAAUUGUUUAGUUUAUGAUUGCAGAUAAACUCAUGCCAGAGAACUUAAAGUCUUAGAAUGGAAAAAGUAAAGAAAUAUCAACUUCCAAGUUGGCAAGUAACUCCCAAUGAUUUAGUUUUUUUCCCCCCAGUUUGAAUUGGGAAGCUGGGGGAAGUUAAAUAUGAGCCACUGGGUGUACCAGUGCAUUAAUUUGGGCAAGGAAAGUGUCAUAAUUUGAUACUGUAUCUGUUUUCCUUCAAAGUAUAGAGCUUUUGGGGAAGGAAAGUAUUGAACUGGGGGUUGGUCUGGCCUACUGGGCUGACAUUAACUACAAUUAUGGGAAAUGCAAAAGUUGUUUGGAUAUGGUAGUGUGUGGUUCUCUUUUGGAAUUUUUUUCAGGUGAUUUAAUAAUAAUUUAAAACUACUAUAGAAACUGCAGAGCAAAGGAAGUGGCUUAAUGAUCCUGAAGGGAUUUCUUCUGAUGGUAGCUUUUGUAUUAUCAAGUAAGAUUCUAUUUUCAGUUGUGUGUAAGCAAGUUUUUUUUUAGUGUAGGAGAAAUACUUUUCCAUUGUUUAACUGCAAAACAAGAUGUUAAGGUAUGCUUCAAAAAUUUUGUAAAUUGUUUAUUUUAAACUUAUCUGUUUGUAAAUUGUAACUGAUUAAGAAUUGUGAUAGUUCAGCUUGAAUGUCUCUUAGAGGGUGGGCUUUUGUUGAUGAGGGAGGGGAAACUUUUUUUUUUUCUAUAGACUUUUUUCAGAUAACAUCUUCUGAGUCAUAACCAGCCUGGCAGUAUGAUGGCCUAGAUGCAGAGAAAACAGCUCCUUGGUGAAUUGAUAAGUAAAGGCAGAAAAGAUUAUAUGUCAUACCUCCAUUGGGGAAUAAGCAUAACCCUGAGAUUCUUACUACUGAUGAGAACAUUAUCUGCAUAUGCCAAAAAAUUUUAAGCAAAUGAAAGCUACCAAUUUAAAGUUACGGAAUCUACCAUUUUAAAGUUAAUUGCUUGUCAAGCUAUAACCACAAAAAUAAUGAAUUGAUGAGAAAUACAAUGAAGAGGCAAUGUCCAUCUCAAAAUACUGCUUUUACAAAAGCAGAAUAAAAGCGAAAAGAAAUGAAAAUGUUACACUACAUUAAUCCUGGAAUAAAAGAAGCCGAAAUAAAUGAGAGAUGAGUUGGGAUCAAGUGGAUUGAGGAGGCUGUGCUGUGUGCCAAUGUUUCGUUUGCCUCAGACAGGUAUCUCUUCGUUAUCAGAAGAGUUGCUUCAUUUCAUCUGGGAGCAGAAAACAGCAGGCAGCUGUUAACAGAUAAGUUUAACUUGCAUCUGCAGUAUUGCAUGUUAGGGAUAAGUGCUUAUUUUUAAGAGCUGUGGAGUUCUUAAAUAUCAACCAUGGCACUUUCUCCUGACCCCUUCCCUAGGGGAUUUCAGGAUUGAGAAAUUUUUCCAUCGAGCCUUUUUAAAAUUGUAGGACUUGUUCCUGUGGGCUUCAGUGAUGGGAUAGUACACUUCACUCAGAGGCAUUUGCAUCUUUAAAUAAUUUCUUAAAAGCCUCUAAAGUGAUCAGUGCCUUGAUGCCAACUAAGGAAAUUUGUUUAGCAUUGAAUCUCUGAAGGCUCUAUGAAAGGAAUAGCAUGAUGUGCUGUUAGAAUCAGAUGUUACUGCUAAAAUUUACAUGUUGUGAUGUAAAUUGUGUAGAAAACCAUUAAAUCAUUCAAAAUAAUAAACUAUUUUUAUUAGAGAAUGUAUACUUUUAGAAAGCUGUCUCCUUAUUUAAAUAAAAUAGUGUUUGUCUGUAGUUCAGUGUUGGGGCAAUCUUGGGGGGGAUUCUUCUCUAAUCUUUCAGAAACUUUGUCUGCGAACACUCUUUAAUGGACCAGAUCAGGAUUUGAGCGGAAGAACGAAUGUAACUUUAAGGCAGGAAAGACAAAUUUUAUUCUUCAUAAAGUGAUGAGCAUAUAAUAAUUCCAGGCACAUGGCAAUAGAGGCCCUCUAAAUAAGGAAUAAAUAACCUCUUAGACAGGUGGGAGAUUAUGAUCAGAGUAAAAGGUAAUUACACAUUUUAUUUCCAGAAAGUCAGGGGUCUAUAAAUUGACAGUGAUUAGAGUAAUACUUUUUCACAUUUCCAAAGUUUGCAUGUUAACUUUAAAUGCUUACAAUCUUAGAGUGGUAGGCAAUGUUUUACACUAUUGACCUUAUAUAGGGAAGGGAGGGGGUGCCUGUGGGGUUUUAAAGAAUUUUCCUUUGCAGAGGCAUUUCAUCCUUCAUGAAGCCAUUCAGGAUUUUGAAUUGCAUAUGAGUGCUUGGCUCUUCCUUCUGUUCUAGUGAGUGUAUGAGACCUUGCAGUGAGUUUAUCAGCAUACUCAAAAUUUUUUUCCUGGAAUUUGGAGGGAUGGGAGGAGGGGGUGGGGCUUACUUGUUGUAGCUUUUUUUUUUUUUACAGACUUCACAGAGAAUGCAGUUGUCUUGACUUCAGGUCUGUCUGUUCUGUUGGCAAGUAAAUGCAGUACUGUUCUGAUCCCGCUGCUAUUAGAAUGCAUUGUGAAACGACUGGAGUAUGAUUAAAAGUUGUGUUCCCCAAUGCUUGGAGUAGUGAUUGUUGAAGGAAAAAAUCCAGCUGAGUGAUAAAGGCUGAGUGUUGAGGAAAUUUCUGCAGUUUUAAGCAGUCGUAUUUGUGAUUGAAGCUGAGUACAUUUUGCUGGUGUAUUUUUAGGUAAAAUGCUUUUUGUUCAUUUCUGGUGGUGGGAGGGGACUGAAGCCUUUAGUCUUUUCCAGAUGCAACCUUAAAAUCAGUGACAAGAAACAUUCCAAACAAGCAACAGUCUUCAAGAAAUUAAACUGGCAAGUGGAAAUGUUUAAACAGUUCAGUGAUCUUUAGUGCAUUGUUUAUGUGUGGGUUUCUCUCUCCCCUCCCUUGGUCUUAAUUCUUACAUGCAGGAACACUCAGCAGACACACGUAUGCGAAGGGCCAGAGAAGCCAGACCCAGUAAGAAAAAAUAGCCUAUUUACUUUAAAUAAACCAAACAUUCCAUUUUAAAUGUGGGGAUUGGGAACCACUAGUUCUUUCAGAUGGUAUUCUUCAGACUAUAGAAGGAGCUUCCAGUUGAAUUCACCAGUGGACAAAAUGAGGAAAACAGGUGAACAAGCUUUUUCUGUAUUUACAUACAAAGUCAGAUCAGUUAUGGGACAAUAGUAUUGAAUAGAUUUCAGCUUUAUGCUGGAGUAACUGGCAUGUGAGCAAACUGUGUUGGCGUGGGGGUGGAGGGGUGAGGUGGGCGCUAAGCCUUUUUUUAAGAUUUUUCAGGUACCCCUCACUAAAGGCACCGAAGGCUUAAAGUAGGACAACCAUGGAGCCUUCCUGUGGCAGGAGAGACAACAAAGCGCUAUUAUCCUAAGGUCAAGAGAAGUGUCAGCCUCACCUGAUUUUUAUUAGUAAUGAGGACUUGCCUCAACUCCCUCUUUCUGGAGUGAAGCAUCCGAAGGAAUGCUUGAAGUACCCCUGGGCUUCUCUUAACAUUUAAGCAAGCUGUUUUUAUAGCAGCUCUUAAUAAUAAAGCCCAAAUCUCAAGCGGUGCUUGAAGGGGAGGGAAAGGGGGAAAGCGGGCAACCACUUUUCCCUAGCUUUUCCAGAAGCCUGUUAAAAGCAAGGUCUCCCCACAAGCAACUUCUCUGCCACAUCGCCACCCCGUGCCUUUUGAUCUAGCACAGACCCUUCACCCCUCACCUCGAUGCAGCCAGUAGCUUGGAUCCUUGUGGGCAUGAUCCAUAAUCGGUUUCAAGGUAAUAGCCUGCAGCUGGUGUUUUGAGAAGCCCUACUGCUGAAAACUUAACAAUUUUGUGUAAUAAAAAUGGAGAAGCUCUAAAUUGUUGUGGUUCUUUUGUGAAUAAAAAAAUCUUGAUUGGGGAAAAAA